AACGCUGGCGGCGUGCCUAAUACAUGCAAGUCGAACGGUCUUUCUAUGGAAGCUUGCUUCCACUGGGAAGAUAGUGGCGGACGGGUGAGUAACACGUGGGUAACCUGCCCAUAAGAGGGGGGAUAACAUCCGGAAACGGGUGCUAAUACCGCAUAGUUUUCUUGAUCGCAUGAUUGAGAAAGGAAAGACGGCCUUUGUGCUGUCGCUUAUGGAUGGACCCGCGGCGUAUUAGUUAGUUGGUGAGGUAACGGCUCACCAAGACGAUGAUACGUAGCCGACCUGAGAGGGUGAUCGGCCACAUUGGGACUGAGACACGGCCCAAACUCCUACGGGAGGCAGCAGUAGGGAAUCUUCCGCAAUGGACGAAAGUCUGACGGAGCAACGCCGCGUGAGUGAAGAAAGGUUUUCGGAUCGUAAAACUCUGUUGUCAGAGAAGAACAAGUCGGAGAGUAACUGCUCCGGCCUUGACGGUAUCUGACCAGAAAGCCACGGCUAACUACGUGCCAGCCGCUGC
RNAcentral lists this ribosomal RNA (514 nucleotides) under uncultured bacterium. RNAcentral describes it as "bacterial SSU rRNA". It matches the Rfam family "Bacterial small subunit ribosomal RNA", at positions 32 to 518 of the family's 1533-position model. The record is from RNAcentral.